RNAcentral lists this ribosomal RNA (465 nucleotides) under Vreelandella stevensii. RNAcentral describes it as "partial 16S ribosomal RNA". It matches the Rfam family "Bacterial small subunit ribosomal RNA", at positions 338 to 795 of the family's 1533-position model. Lineage: Bacteria; Pseudomonadati; Pseudomonadota; Gammaproteobacteria; Oceanospirillales; Halomonadaceae. The record is from RNAcentral.
CCUACGUGCCGCUGCAGUGGGGAAUAUUGGACAAUGGGCGAAAGCCUGAUCCAGCCAUGCCGCGUGUGUGAAGAAGGCCUUCGGGUUGUAAAGCACUUUCAGUGGGGAAGAAAGCCUUGGGGCUAAUACCCUCGAGGAAGGACAUCACCCACAGAAGAAGCACCGGCUAACUCCGUGCCAGCAGCCGCGGUAAUACGGAGGGUGCGAGCGUUAAUCGGAAUUACUGGGCGUAAAGCGCGCGUAGGCGGUCUGAUAAGCCGGUUGUGAAAGCCCCGGGCUCAACCUGGGAACGGCAUCCGGAACUGUCAGGCUAGAGUGCAGGAGAGGAAGGUAGAAUUCCCGGUGUAGCGGUGAAAUGCGUAGAGAUCGGGAGGAAUACCAGUGGCGAAGGCGGCCCUCUGGACUGACACUGACGCUGAGGUGCGAAAGCGUGGGUAGCAAACAGGAUUAGAUACCCUUGUAGUC